Molecule: long non-coding RNA, 2763 nt
Filed under: Homo sapiens (human)
Lineage: Eukaryota; Metazoa; Chordata; Mammalia; Primates; Hominidae
Description: HSALNT0323676
Source: RNAcentral
ACACACGCACGCACGCACACACACGCACGCACGCGCACACACACACGCGCACACACACGCACACGCCCGCGCACACACUCUCUCACACACACACAGAGAUUGGAGAGAGACAGGAGAGAGACAUGUUUUCAUCUAUCCUUUGUGGACUUCUGUUGUUUUUACUGCUGUGAAAUUUGACUUGCGAUAUCUGCUUAAAGCAAUGAAGAGAAAAGCUGAAGUCAGUGAUUAGGAGUGUCUGUGUAAGUAAAAGCAACAGGCAAUUACUGAGUGUGGUGUGAGAGGCACGGAAAGAUUGGGAAUUCAGCAAGAAGAGGAAUUGAAGUCAAACCUCACCUACUUCCCAGAGUCUUCUGGAUUUUCUGUUAGAAGCUUCAGUAUCUGAGGAAAGGACUCAGGCAACAAAUAAACAGCUAAGAUUUUACUAGAGUAUGAAAGGGAGAGCACUGGAGUGCAGUGCGGGGAUGGAGAUGCAGCUGUGGUGGCUGGAAGUACAGGAGGGCAGCUGGAGGCACCUGGCCUCUGAAGCCUGUCUUCUUCAUCUGGGUGAGAUCUGCUGGAGUCAGGAAGGACUUCCUGCUGCAAGGAUAAAGGGUUUAGGGGUUUUGCUCUGUCACGCAGGUGAAGUGUGGUGGCGUAAUCAUGACUCACUGCAGCCUCGAACUCCGGGACUCAAGCUAAUCUCUUUCCUCAGCCUUCCCAGCAGCUGGGACUACAGAAUCCCACCCAUCCUAAGGCAUUACAUUUAGUCAUCAUAGCUCUUUCUUCACAGAAUUAGAAAAAACUACUUUAAAUUUCAUAUGGAACCAAAAAAGAGCCCAUAUAGCCAAGAAAAUCUUAAGCAAAAAGAACAAAGAUGGAGGCAUCAUGCUAACUGACUUCAAACUAUACUACAAGGCUACAGUAACCAAAACAGCAUGGUACUGGUGCCAAAACAGAUAUAUAGACCAAUGGAAUAGAACAGAGGCCUCAGAAAAACGUCACCCAUCUACAACCAUCUGAUCUUCAACAAAUCUGACAAAAACAAAUAAUGGGGAAGAAAUUCUGUAUUUAAUAAAUGAUCUUGGGAAAACUGGCUAGCCACAUGCAGAAAACUGAAGCUGGGCUCCUUCCUUACACCUUAUACAAAAAUUAACUCAAGAUGGAUUAAAGACUUAAACGUAAGACCUAAAACCAUAGAAACCCUAGAAGAAUACCUAGGCAAUACCAUUGAGGACACAGACAUGGGCAAAUGACUAAAGCAACAAAAGCCAAAAUUGACAAAUGGGAGCUAAUUAAACUAAAGAGCUUCUGAACAGCAAAAGAAACUAUCAUCAGAGUGAACAGGCAACCUACAGAAUGGGAGAAAAUUUUUGCAAUCUAUCCACCUGACAAAGGGCUAAUAUCCAGAAUCUACAAAUAACUUAAACAAAUUUACAAGAAAAAAAACAAACAACCCCAUCAAGAAGUGGGUGAAGGAUAUGAAAAGACACUUCUCAAAAGAAGACAUUUAUGUGGCCAACAAACAUGAAAAAAAGCUCAUCAUCACUGGGCAUUAGAGAAAUGCAAAUCAAAACCACAAUGAGAUACCAUCUCACGCCAGUUAGAAUGGCGAUCUUUAAAAAGUCAGGAAACAACAGAUGCUGGAGAGGAUGUGGAGAGAUAGGAAUGCUUUUACACUGUUGGUAGGAGUGUAAAUUAGUUCAGCAAUUGUGGAAGACUGUGUGGAGAUUCCUCAAGGAUCUAGAACCAGAAAUGCCAUUUGACCGAGCAAUCCCAUUACUGGCUAUAUACCCAAAGGAUUAUAAAUCAUUCUACUAUAGAGACACAUCCACCUGUAUGUUGAUUGCAGCACUGUUCACAAUAGCAAAGACUUGGAACCAAUGCAAAUGCCCAUCAAUGAUCGGCUGGAUAAAGAAAAUGUGGCACAUAUACACCGUGAAAUACUAUGUAGCCAUAAAAAAGGAUGAGUUCAUGUCCUUUGCAGGGAUAUGGAUGAAGCUGGAAACCAUCAUUCUCUGCAAACUAAUACAGGAACAGAAUGCCAAACACCACAUGUUCUCACUCAUAAGUGGGAGUUGAACAAUGAGAACACAUGAAUACCGGGAGGGAACAUCACACACCAGGGCCUGUCAGAGGGUCGGGGGCUAGGGAAGGGAUAGCAUUAGGAGAAAUACCUAAUGUAGAUUAUGGGUUGAUGGGUGCAGCAAACCACCAUGGCACAUGUAUAGCUAUGUAACAAACCUGCACGUUCUACACAUGUAUCCCAGAACUUAAAGCAUAAGUAAAAUAAAAAAAUAAUUAAAUGAGGAAGAAGAGUCAAAUUUUUGUGCAGAAAAAUUUGAAAGAAUUUAUGUAGAUACUACUUCCUCAAUGAGGAAGAGCAUAACUCUAUGCUCUUUAAGUCGGACAUGAACAUACUCAUUUCUUUCAAAAGAGUACAAUAUGAAAAGAGGGAAAAAGAAUAACUGUACAGUAAAGAAACCUGACAAUUGCUACCUUGGCCAAGUGACCCAGGUCAACAUCAACAGUGAUAGUGACGUUUAUGUCAUGUCCACUUGAAAUGAUGUGAUUAAAAAAAGGCACUUUACCUCUGUGUUCUUCUUCCUAUUCCCAUAAUUCCAGACUAAUUAUUUAAAAAUUUUCAUAUGUAUUCCAAUUAAAGAACAUUCUAAAAAAUACCCAACUGGUAAUUCUCAAAACUGCCUAGGUCAUCGAAACAAGCAAAAUUUGAGAAACUGUUACAUUUAUGGAUUUUUAAAUAUUGAAACAAAUCUCAUAUUUCUG